This 2222-nucleotide long non-coding RNA is filed under the name Homo sapiens (human). Its description in RNAcentral is "non-protein coding lnc-LBX1-1:2". Lineage: Eukaryota; Metazoa; Chordata; Mammalia; Primates; Hominidae. The record is from RNAcentral.
GAGUGAGCCUCAGGAACCACCCCAGAUUUUAGGAGUUAGGAGUGGGUCUAGCUGUGCUGAUGGCCACCUGGGGCUCUGGUGAACUCUAGCCUCCUCCCAUCCGCCCAUCGAGGGCAUCGUCAGGCCUCUGUGCUGAGCCAUUUGCCUCCUGCUCUGCCCCAAACCUGUUCAGCCCCCAACAUUCUCACUUUCCUGUCCCCUUCAUGCUUCUUAGGUCAUUUCUCUCUGCUUCUGCAAACCUCCCUGCCAAAUGUUCCCCCACCCCAAACCGACCCUUUUCAUCUCUAUGUCCCCCCGUGUACACCUCUCUCAAAAUGCAGGGCCACGGGGCCCUCCUUCUUAGGGACUAGGCCAUGCCUAGGGGUAGGGCUGCUGUAUAGAGAUUAGCCGGUCAUGGUGGCAUGUGCCUGUAAUCUCAGCUACUUGGGAGGGAAACCCUGUCUCUACUAAAAAUACACAAAUUAGCCGGACAUGGGUUAAAAGAUGAGCUGGGCCAAUCCGAUUUCCUCUCCUGGGAAUUUGAACUAUGAAAUACUGAGAGACUAGAGCAGUUAGCAGAGGUGAUGUAGAGAGAGACUCAGAGAGGCCGGCUGGUCAAAUGCAAGUCACGGUUAUGAGAAAUUAUGAGGAAACCCAGGAAGCUCUCGGUGCUGCACGGGGGUCAGAAGCAGUUAUGAGCUGGAGCUUGGGAGGCUGACCUGAGUGAGAAUCCUUACUCUGCCACUUCCUGGCUUGAACCUGGAGCAGCUUACCUAACCUCCUUGAGCCUCGGUGUUCUCAUAUGUAAAAUGGGGGUAAUGAUAUUAACUAACUGCACGGUGUUCUAAAGAGGAUUAAUGGAGAUAAGCAUGGAAAUCAAUAGAUCUGGCUCAGAAUUUGUUAACAAUUAUUCUUCCUCCACUUAUUAUGAUAAUAAUUAUUAAUUUCAUUAAUAAUAAUGAAGAAAGAGAUAAAGAAGAAAGAGACCCUGUGGGGUUCCCUUCCACCUGACCAGGAGAGAGAAGUUGGUCCCCAGAGCUUCUUUGGUCCCUGCGUGCUUUCUGGGCCCAGUUCCAAUGACAAGCCGUGUUUUUCAAUACAAAAGGCCUUCCUUUUUCUUGUGAUUACUCAAGUGAACCUCUGUUUCUUGCAAACAGAAGGACCCCUGCCCAGACCCCUGUCUUCCUCUCAUGUCUGGACUUGAGCUUCUCGAAGUCCAGCACAAUAGUCUGUCUACCUCAGUAUCCUGCCUGGGCGUUGAAGACAGCUGAUGCCCAAUGCUUGGUAAAUAAAAGAAUGAAUGAAUGAAUAAGGUUCCAAAGCCUUUGUGGGGAGCCUACAGAAAUGCUGUUUUUAGGAGACUCAGAAGUCCAUUGGGUAGACGGUUAGGGGAGAGUUCGUUGACAGCCCUGUCCCUCAACGCAGGACAGAAGGCAGGCCAGGACUGGAGCACUCUGGACCACUUGCCUACACCCUGCUAGGACUUUCCUUCCCUGUGGCACCAGGAUAAGGGGCAGAAGGUGACAGAAGGGCCAACUGGGGGAAGACACCUGCUGGGUCAGGUUGCCAGCCUGCUGAAACAGGGUUAGGCCUGCCCCCUCCCCUGCCCAGCCUCAUCCCCUCCACUCCUUCUCCCAAAUCCCAGACCCCAGUUCCACUCACAUCUUUUCAGACACUUCCCUUCACCAUGUUUUCUUACCAUGUCUUUGCUCAUGCCAUCCCUUCCCUUUCCGAUGCCCUUCGCCCUCACCUCCCAUGAAAACUCCUACCUGUCUUUUAAAACCCAGCUCAGAACCAGCCCCCUACUGGAAUCUUCCUUGGAUCUCUCAGGCAGUUAAAUGCUCUUCUUCUGUGCUUCCGCAGUCUUUUUGGAGAUUUUAUGGGCCCCAGUUCAUUGCUCCAAUUACCCGUGUACUUGUCUGUCUUCCCCCAAAAAGGUCUCAAGGACAGGAAUUGUGUCUUAUUCAUCAUUGUGUCCUCAGUGCUUAAUAAAAGUCUUAGCUCACAGUAGGCUUUCACUAAGUGUUUGUUGACUGUACAAAUAUAAUAAUAGAUUAAUCCACAGUUUCUCUCAGCUCUGGGAUCCCUGGCUCCUGCUGUUUUCUCUUCUUCUUAGGCUGUCUUGGGCAUUUCUUGAAGCCUUUCACAGUCCUGUGACUAUUUCUCAAUGGCAUCACUACCCACCCCCAGUCCUGAGCAAUGUCUGCUGUCCAUAACACAGGACACUACAGGGCUAUAGAUCC